GACAUUAAAGAGAUAGGGCCCUCUCUGGGCCCGACCCUCCAACCCUUUGUCUACCUUACCUUCGUUGCUUUGGCGGGCCCGCUGGGGAUGACCCACCGCCGGCGCCAGCCGGUGAGCGCCCGCCGGAGGCCAUCAAAACUCCGUCUGUCGGUGCUGUCUGAGUACCCCACAAUCGUUAAAACUUUCAACAACGGAUCUCUUGGUUCUGGCAUCGAUGAAGAACGCAGCGAAAUGCGAUAAGUAAUGUGAAUUGCAGAAUUCAGUGAAUCAUCGAAUCUUUGAACGCACAUUGCGCCCCCUGGUAUUCCGGGGGGCAUGCCUGUUCGAGCGUCAUUACAACCCUCAAGCUCUGCUUGGUAUUGGGCUUUCACCCCUCCCCCGGGGGGGCGUGCCUGAAAGUGAGUGGCGGUGCAGCCUGACUUCAAGCGUAGUAACUUCAAAACCCGCUUCGGAAGCCUUUCAGGUUGGGCCGGCCAGACAGCCCAACAUUAUUUCUAUGGUUGACCUCGGAUCAGGUAGGGAUACCCGCUGAACUUAAG
This 539-nucleotide ribosomal RNA is filed under the name Umbilicaria esculenta. RNAcentral describes it as "eukaryotic LSU rRNA". The stretch from base 180 to 333 matches the Rfam family "5.8S ribosomal RNA". Lineage: Eukaryota; Fungi; Ascomycota; Lecanoromycetes; Umbilicariales; Umbilicariaceae. The record is from RNAcentral.